UUAUGGCUCAGGAUGAACGCUGGCGGCGUGCUUAACACAUGCAAGUCGAACGGAGUUAGAUGAAAGCUUGCUUUGACUAAACUUAGUGGCGGACGGGUGAGUAACGCGUGGGUAACCUGCCUUAUACAGGGGGAUAACAGUCGGAAACGACUGCUAAUACCGCAUAAGCGCACGGAAUCGCAUGAUUCAGUGUGAAAAGAUUUAUCGGUAUAAGAUGGACCCGCGUCUGAUUAGCUAGUUGGUGAGGUAACGGCCCACCAAGGCGACGAUCAGUAGCCGGCCUGAGAGGGUGAACGGCCACAUUGGGACUGAGACACGGCCCAAACUCCUACGGGAGGCAGCAGUGGGGAAUAUUGCACAAUGGGGGAAACCCUGAUGCCAGCGACGCCGCGUGAGUGAAGAAGUAUUUCGGUAUGUAAAGCUCUAUCAGCAGGGAAGAAAAUGACGGUACCUGACUAAGAAGCCCCGGCUAACUACGUGCCAGCCGCUGC
Molecule: ribosomal RNA, 491 nt
Filed under: uncultured bacterium
Lineage: Bacteria
Description: bacterial SSU rRNA
Rfam family: Bacterial small subunit ribosomal RNA
Source: RNAcentral